This 883-nucleotide ribosomal RNA is filed under the name Staphylococcus aureus. Its description in RNAcentral is "partial 23S ribosomal RNA". It matches the Rfam family "Bacterial large subunit ribosomal RNA", at positions 513 to 1404 of the family's 2925-position model. Lineage: Bacteria; Bacillati; Bacillota; Bacilli; Caryophanales; Staphylococcaceae. The record is from RNAcentral.
GGUGAAAAGCACCCCGGAAGGGGAGUGAAAUAGAACCUGAAACCGUGUGCUUACAAGUAGUCAGAGCCCGUUAAUGGGUGAUGGCGUGCCUUUUGUAGAAUGAACCGGCGAGUUACGAUUUGAUGCAAGGUUAAGCAGUAAAUGUGGAGCCGUAGCGAAAGCGAGUCUGAAUAGGGCGUUUAGUAUUUGGUCGUAGACCCGAAACCAGGUGAUCUACCCUUGGUCAGGUUGAAGUUCAGGUAACACUGAAUGGAGGACCGAACCGACUUACGUUGAAAAGUGAGCGGAUGAACUGAGGGUAGCGGAGAAAUUCCAAUCGAACCUGGAGAUAGCUGGUUCUCUCCGAAAUAGCUUUAGGGCUAGCCUCAAGUGAUGAUUAUUGGAGGUAGAGCACUGUUUGGACGAGGGGCCCCUCUCGGGUUACCGAAUUCAGACAAACUCCGAAUGCCAAUUAAUUUAACUUGGGAGUCAGAACAUGGGUGAUAAGGUCCGUGUUCGAAAGGGAAACAGCCCAGACCACCAGCUAAGGUCCCAAAAUAUAUGUUAAGUGGAAAAGGAUGUGGCGUUGCCCAGACAACUAGGAUGUUGGCUUAGAAGCAGCCAUCAUUUAAAGAGUGCGUAAUAGCUCACUAGUCGAGUGACACUGCGCCGAAAAUGUACCGGGGCUAAACAUAUUACCGAAGCUGUGGAUUGUCCUUUGGACAAUGGUAGGAGAGCGUUCUAAGGGCGUUGAAGCAUGAUCGUAAGGACAUGUGGAGCGCUUAGAAGUGAGAAUGCCGGUGUGAGUAGCGAAAGACGGGUGAGAAUCCCGUCCACCGAUUGACUAAGGUUUCCAGAGGAAGGCUCGUCCGCUCUGGGUUAGUCGGGUCCUAAGCUGAGGCCG